GUGUCAGCAGCCGCGGUAAUACGAAGGGGGCUAGCGUUGCUCGGAAUUACUGGGCGUAAAGGGCGCGUAGGCGGACAGUUAAGUCAGAGGUGAAAGCCCAGGGCUCAACCCUGGAAUAGCCUUUGAUACUGGCUGUCUUGAGUGCGGGAGAGGUGUGUGGAACUCCGAGUGUAGAGGUGAAAUUCGUAGAUAUUCGGAAGAACACCAGUGGCGAAGGCGACACACUGGCCCGUAACUGACGCUGAGGCGCGAAAGCGUGGGGAGCAAACAGGAUUAGAAACCCUAGUAGUCC
Molecule: ribosomal RNA, 292 nt
Filed under: uncultured bacterium
Lineage: Bacteria
Description: partial 16S ribosomal RNA
Rfam family: Bacterial small subunit ribosomal RNA
Source: RNAcentral